Ictidomys tridecemlineatus (thirteen-lined ground squirrel) is the source of this 83-nucleotide non-coding RNA. The record is from Rfam. Lineage: Eukaryota; Metazoa; Chordata; Mammalia; Rodentia; Sciuridae.
UGUGCAGCUUCCUAUACAUCUACCUCUGUGUGUCUGGGGUCACUCCACAUGGCCGCUUCUGUCUGCACCUGAGCAAAUGGGUG